GAAUUUUGGGCAAUGGCCGAAAGGCUGACCCAGCGACGCCGCGUGCGGGAGGAAGCCCUUCGGGGUGUAAACCGCUGUCAGAGGGGAAGAAUGGUAGACCGGGGAAUAACCGGUCUGCGUGACGGUACCUUCCAAGGAAGCGCCGGCUAACUCCGUGCCAGCAGCCGCGGUAAGACGGAGGGCGCGAGCGGUGUUCGGAAUUACUGGGCGUAAAGCGCGCGCAGGCGGGGAGAUAAGUCGGGAGUGAAAGACCGGGGCUUAACCCUGGAGCGGCUUCCGAGACUGUGUUCCUUGGGACCGGUAGAGGCGGGUGGAAUUCCCGGUGUAGCGGUGGAAUGCGUAGAGAUCGGGAAGAACACCGGUGGCGAAGGCGGCCCGCUGGGCCGGAUCCGACGCUGAGGCGCGAAAGCGUGGGGAGCAAACAGG
Molecule: ribosomal RNA, 426 nt
Filed under: uncultured bacterium
Lineage: Bacteria
Description: bacterial SSU rRNA
Rfam family: Bacterial small subunit ribosomal RNA
Source: RNAcentral